RNAcentral lists this ribosomal RNA (245 nucleotides) under Escherichia coli. Its description in RNAcentral is "partial 16S ribosomal RNA". It matches the Rfam family "Bacterial small subunit ribosomal RNA", at positions 1 to 242 of the family's 1533-position model. The record is from RNAcentral. Lineage: Bacteria; Pseudomonadati; Pseudomonadota; Gammaproteobacteria; Enterobacterales; Enterobacteriaceae.
AAAUUGAAGAGUUUGAUCAUGGCUCAGAUUGAACGCUGGCGGCAGGCCUAACACAUGCAAGUCGAACGGUAACAGGAAGCAGCUUGCUGCUUUGCUGACGAGUGGCGGACGGGUGAGUAAUGUCUGGGAAACUGCCCGAUGGAGGGGGAUAACUACUGGAAACGGUAGCUAAUACCGCAUAACGUCGCAAGACCAAAGAGGGGGACCUUCGGGCCUCUUGCCAUCGGAUGUGCCCAGAUGGGAUU